CCCGCCCCCCAACCGCAGGCUCCCGCGCGCCACCCCGAGGGGACGGGCGCCACCUCCUGCUACGCGGCACCCGGUCCCGUCAACCGCCCAACGGCUGAGGAGUGCGGCAGCGCGCCAGAGACUGGCGGGCAGCUCCGCCCGCGGCCGGGAUGCACUAGGCAAAGCCAGCUGGGCUCCUGAGUCCGGUGGGUACUUGGAGAACUUACUACGUCUAGCUGGAGGAUUGUAAAUGCACCAAUCAGCAUGCUGUGUCUAGCUCAAGAUUUUCUCCAUCCCCUUAUUUUGGGCCAGUGGCUGUCAUUACAUAUGAGAUGAGUCUCUUGAAGACUACAGAUGGGUGAAGGAGCAAUGCUUUUGGUUACUCAGUAUUCUCUCAAGAAAAUUUAAAGAUAGUUUAUACACAGAAGAUAUUUUAACAGGUUAUAUUCUGAACUUGUGGCCCGGAUUUGGAAAAAGCAAUAUCAAGUAUGGUUCAAGGGGACAAGAAAGAGAGAAGCAUUUGUUACCAUUUUUCCAAGUCAAAAAUAUUUAAUCAGAUAAUAUUUUAAAAGCCAGCAAUAAUUAGUAAUGAUUGGUAUAAUGUUUUUGUCAAAAUUAUUAAAUAGGAGAUAAAAUUAAAAGCUUUAUUUUUUUGCAUUCAAAUAAAAUUUUAAGUAUUUUGAUGAGCUUAUUAAAUCAACAAUGCAUGUAUUACAUUGAACCUGACUUCUUAAUAAGUUGCAACCAAAUCUUUAAUGAUAAGUUUAGGUCAGAGAGAUAAUUUUGAGAUUUGUCACCAUAAAGAUAGGGUAUAAUGUGAUGUAAAUAAUUAAGAUCAGGUGGAAAGACAAAUAAGAUUGAAGGAAGACCCAAGACCAAGGUUUGGGGCACUCUCAGAAGUUCUAAAAAAAAAAUUUAGACUAUGAGUAAAGAAGGAUUGAUCAGCAAGGUGAAAUGGAUCAAGGAAAUGUGGGCACUCAGAGGUACAGAGGGGUUAAUUGCUGCUCAGAAAAUACUCAGACGAAUGCUGAACAGUAGAUUAGAUAGAACCGAUGUCCUAGAAAUCAUGAAGAUAAGUGACUUUAUUAAAAUACAUAUUAUAAACAAAGAAGGAAUUUACUGUUCGAAAAGUUGUCUUGAAGAAUUGUUUUGGGAGAAAAUAAAAAAUAAACCUUAUUUUCUAAAAUACACUAAAACUAAUUCCAAAUGAGUCAAAGGAUUGUGUACAGAUAUUUUAAAUUAAUAAAACAAUGUUAGUGCAGAUUCUCUUUAAUUACUUCCCUGAUUGUUUUACCUAUAGUAACUCAUUUAAUUCUACUAGCAAUCUUUUCAUGUUGGAUACAGCUAUUCAAAUUUUCUUUUGUUAUUGCAAUAGCCUCCUAACCAUUCUUCCACAAAAUUGAGGCACUAAAAGGUUGUGAAAUUUCCUCUAUGCCACAGAGCUUUUUAGUGAUGAUUUGGCAUUUGGAAGCACAUCUUUGAAAUGUUCAUUUUUCUCUGAUGGCCAGUGAUGGUGAGCAUUUCUUCAUGUGUUUUUUGGCU
Molecule: long non-coding RNA, 1521 nt
Filed under: Homo sapiens (human)
Lineage: Eukaryota; Metazoa; Chordata; Mammalia; Primates; Hominidae
Description: HSALNT0327205
Source: RNAcentral